This is a non-coding RNA of Salmo salar (Atlantic salmon), 1684 nucleotides long. The record is from RefSeq and is a predicted model, not a curated record. Lineage: Eukaryota; Metazoa; Chordata; Actinopteri; Salmoniformes; Salmonidae.
CAUAGCAAUGAUAGGAGAGACCAUGUGAGGAUAUGACAGAGCCAAGUGACUUGGUGUAUAGCGAGAUAUCAUAGACCCUUCUGCUGAUUCUAACGGCUUGUUAUUAUUUGAUGUUCCCUCAGCGCUAUUUUUAGUCUAUGAAUAAACCUCUGGAGGGCCUGUGUGUGUGUGUGUGUGUGUGUGCGUGUGUGUGUGAGAGAGAGAGCGAGAGACAGAGACCACUGACCAGACAUGCGUACACUCUGAUGUAAAUAAUGACGUAAUGCAGUGCAUGCCUGGUACGUGUGCUCGUCUGUGAUCUAAACUCAUAGAGAAACCAAGCCAAUAUGGAUUAAACUGUCAUUAGCAAAAAUAAGCUAAUUUAAAAUAAAAAGAGGUCAAGUUCAUCAGAUGGAGGGACUUCAAUUCCAUUCGAAGACAGUCAAAUAUUCACUUCUGUUGGUCUCUCUCUUUUUGUUAUCCCUCCACUCUCAAACUCUGUUUCUCUGCCAUGUAUCUCUCUCUCUGUACGGUUCUGCUGCAGUCGUAUUCAGGCUGAUUUGAUUUGUUACUGCUGUUCUGCGGCGGCCGGCGGUCGGCGGGAAUCAGGAGGCAUCCAAACACAGGGACAGACACAGGGACAGGAGUGGAGGGAACAGAGAUGACCACAGUCACACCCAGUGCUCAGCACGAGUUGACAGGACAAGGCCACUCACCAAUGGGCACAUGUCCCCUUCUCGCCUGUCGUCCAAUCACAACAGUCCAGCAAACCUAGGAGAGUUCCUGCGUGAUAAAGAGCAGCAGCUGGAGCGUUUUUCGGAGGAACGAGGGAGGAGGAUGGAGGCGCAGAAAAAAAGAAAGGAGAGGAGACGACAGCAGGAAGAGGAGGAGAAGGUCAGAGAUCAAACUACUAUGCACCCUAAUUUUUUUGUCCUUUCCUCAACGGCUCCUUCCAACUCCCCCACACCCUGUUUACCUCUCCCUCUCUCUCUCUCUCUCUGAUUUGGGUUGAGUAUGGUCUGCCUGUUGGGUUAGAUUAGAUGUGCUUUAAAAGUAGGCCAAUGGUGAACAUCUCAACUGAUGAUUUGAAAUUGAUUGGGAGACAGCCCAUCCUUGCAGACAGACUCUCCUGUUUAUGUUAAUAGAUUAAUGAUUGGGCGGUCUCUGUGGCUGCACCAUGAUAUCAUCGUUGGCGUAUCAUGUGUCAUUUCCUGGAAUCAGACAGUACAUAAUAUAUAUCUGUCAUGCACACACACACACACACAUGGAUAUGAAUAUUUAAUUAUGUGUAGGACCAGAUAGAGGACAGAGUUUCCAUACGAUACAAUAGGAUGUGAUAUGAUAUGAGGCCAGUGGUAGCCUAUAGAAUGGAUGUUGGUUGAUUACUGCAGAAUUAUCAAUUAGAUAUGCAAACAAUAUGAGUUAAUGUAUUGAUAAAAAACACUGCUGAUUAAUCUGUCUGUGGUUAUUUAGGUGUGUGUGUCUGUUCUGCUGUAGAACUCUGUCUCUGGUUAUUUAGGUGUGUGUGUGUGUGUUCUGCUGUAGAACUCUGUCUCUGGUUAUUUAGGUGUGUGUGUGUUCUGCUGUAGAACUCUGUGGGGGUUCUAUUUUAGUCCUGGCCCCGGUCGGGUUCUGGGUUGCCGUAGCGAUAUUGUCCGCUAUCACCUCAGAUGACUCUCUCUCUCUCUCCCCCCCCCCUCUCUCU